GAGCGUGUGGCGGAAUUGGUAGACGCAGUAGUCUUGAAAAGUUUAUUUCUUACGAGUGGACUGUUCAAACUACUGUUGAAAAACAUGUGGGUUCGAGUCCCACCUCGCUUA
Molecule: transfer RNA, 111 nt
Filed under: Ignavibacteriaceae bacterium
Lineage: Bacteria; Pseudomonadati; Ignavibacteriota; Ignavibacteria; Ignavibacteriales; Ignavibacteriaceae
Description: tRNA-OTHER
Rfam family: tRNA
About the family: Transfer RNA (tRNA) molecules are approximately 80 nucleotides in length.
Source: RNAcentral